Long non-coding RNA from Camelus dromedarius (Arabian camel), 3717 nucleotides. RefSeq lists it as uncharacterized. The transcript has 10 exons. The record is from RefSeq and is a predicted model, not a curated record. Lineage: Eukaryota; Metazoa; Chordata; Mammalia; Artiodactyla; Camelidae.
CAGCCUCGCCGGAGCCAGGUCCGGGCAGCCUUCUGGUGGCGGUGCGCCGGGGUUUCCAGAACCUUAACGUGCUUUCCCUGACGCAGCACAAGGGACAGCCUUCUCUUAAGAAUGCAAGCCUGGACACCGGCCCGCCGUCUCUAUGGUUUCCCUACCCGCUUCCCCGCGACUUGGUCGGGUCUGACAGAGACGGGAGCGGGAUCGCAAAGCGGGCGCGAGGAAGGGCCGCGACCGUCCCCUGCGGUGUGGGGUGGAACUGCACGCGGGCCUCAGACCGCGAGCCUGAGGGGACGUGAGCGCACGCAUGAGGAAAACUCGAGAGACAAAUUGAGAAACUUGAGUUUCUGUAUAUAAUUCAUACCGUGAUAAAGUUGUCCCCCACUUUAAUGAAGAGGGGUAUUUCGGUGGAGCUUUGACCACACAGCAAGAAUGAAACGGAGACACUGCACUUCCCAGUUAGCUGCAACGCAGGGAAGAACGGGGACUCUGGGACUGCCCAAUAGCACGGCUCUUGCUGCUGACUUUGGUCUGGAGUCCACUUUUUGAUUUGGUCGGGAUCCUAAGGAGCCUACCAACCCCAGAUGGUCAGAUCCAAUCCUGUGAGAUGCCACUCAGUGCAGGAACUCGGUCUCAACACAAACAAAAGAGAAGCGAGUUGCGGGUGAGUGAGCCACACCUGCUGAUGUCUCUGCGGGCUAACUGAAGUGGGGUUCAGGCCCAAGACCUUGGGAUGUACAGAUUGGCUAAAUGAACAUCAAUUUGUCUACCAAAGUGCCUCUGCGUUACAACCCACUCUCUUCCUCUUCUUUCUGCUGAAGAGCAGGCGUUGGGAUUGCAAAGGAACAUGAUGGAGGCCCCCCUCAUCCGCCCUUAUUCCCCAGCUGGCAUGGGGCACACGAAUCCCUGAUUAGACUCCUGCAAGGUUCAUCAUUCACAAAUCAUGGAUAGCAUCCUUGGACAACAAGCAAGCGGACACCAAAGCGGCAAGGCCGACUCCACUAGAUUUUCCUACUGGUCUGGAGCAGGAGCAGAAGCAUUCACUGCUAGCUUCGGAACAUCAUUUAAAAGGGUGGCUGUGCUAUGCACCAAGUGCUUUCAAGACUGAUUAACAGCUGACGAGAAGCACAAUUAGACAUGGCCCGAAGGAACCUGACCACUGUGCUCCUUGCUCUACGUGCACCAUCUGAACUGCCCAUGGGCAUGCGCGUGAGUGACCUCCGCCUAGAAUUCUCUGCCAUGGCUCACCUGCCCCUAGUCUGCCCCUCGGGCCUGACCAACUCCCACUCAUCACUCAGGGCUCUCUUGGAUGGUAUUCCACCUGGAAGUUGUCCUUUAAUGACAAAAGCAGUCCUUUCCCAGUAGAAAAGUUAAAAACCUAGCAAACUGAUAAACUGUAAUACUGUACAGGAAAAACAUGGUGACCCCUUUUGAAUAGCCUUUUAAGUCUGCUGCAGCUCCCUCCCUGCCCCUCGGCCACACCAAGCACCUCCUGGUCUCCCCUUCCGUCAGGUGUCCAGAGGCUCCCUUCCCUUCCUGACCACAGGUGAUCCUCAGAGGAGGUCUCAUCCCCACAGGUAGCUAUGUCUAAAGAAGAAUUCUGGUGUGGGAAGAAACUGGUGGUGGUCACGCUGUUGAACAACCUUUUUAUCUUUCCUAUAGGGCAGUUCUCAGUAAACAGUCUUAUCCUAAUGAUUUGUUGCCUCACCUUUGACCUUUUCCAGACUUCACAAUCCAAGGGCAGAGCUUUGGGCAUCCUGUUCACUGCUGGAUUCCCAGCUCCUAGCUCCUGCUUAGUCAUGGCAACCAAUUAUGGACUGUUCUGUGUACAACAUGCUCCAGUCCUGACUUAUUUCUUACAAUAGUCCCAAAGGAUACGGACUAGCAUUAUUAGUUACAUGGGUGUGAAGCCAGGCACAGAGGUCAGUUCUCCCACAGAGCUGGUAAGCGGUGUUCAAACAGUAGCUCUAACCCGUUUUCCCUCUUACUGUCAUUUCUAUGUGCUUCUCUAUCUGGGAGCAAAAGAUGUGAACCAGAGUUGGCAAGAAACUCAUCCUGUGAUGUGCCCUCCUGGACAGACCUCCCUGCCCACGGAGGCAACGCUCUGGUGAUGGCGAGAGCCAGGCGUGACUCCCAACAAAAUGGUACCACAUUCAGACCCUCAGACAGGAGCACGUGAGUUGCAAUCCCACCUGCAGCUGCUUUCUGAUUCUGUGACUGGACAUACUCAACGUCUCCGUGCCAUACCUUCCUCAUCCACAAAACGGAGAAAAUUCCACUUCCCCGAUGAGGCCGCUGUGCAGAUUAAAUGAGCUAAUGUCUCUAAAAUGUGAAUACAGCACCUGCGCCCAGCAAAACAAAAUACGUCUCAUAUUGACUCAGCCCUGAUGCUUCAAGACUGGGCUUUAUCCUAAAAUGCAGAUGCUGUGCCUGGAGCUGAACGACGGUGCCAACUAGACAUAAAAAUAACAAUUCCCUAAAAGCAAACAUCCAGCAGAGAAGAGCAAACCAGACCUGGUCUCUCGCAAGGUGUACACGUCCCCACAGACGGAGAUCUCGCGCCAGAUGCCGGGCUGGGACUCCUCUGUGAAGCCCCCUCUGGGAUGCAUCACCAGGACGCCAUUUGUCGUGAGCCCAUCCAUGUGGCCAUCGGGGUUUUUCCAUUUUGCUGCCUUUUCCUGGAGAGAAAAAUCGUGCAAGCUGAAGUGGUCACGCUAAACGCAGGAACCAGCUCACCCACACCAAGACCUUGUCUGAGGCAGGUGAUGUGCCCAGAAGCAGAGGGCAAGACAGAGUGAACCUGGCUUCCUAGAUGUCGUGAACCACCACACCAGCCACCCUGCUGCUGGCCUUCCUUGGCACUUCCUGUAACACAGGAUGGUAGAAAAAAAGCGAGAUUUUAAAGGAAGCCAGCAAACAAAAGAAUUAUUUCCCCCAUUCUUACCCAGCACCAGGGACUGGUUUUCCCUACUAAGUGACUCCACCAGCCUCACAGCACGGAACAAGGACAGCCCCAGCCCAGACAGAGCGACCCAGUGCACAUGACAGUGGUGUAAAAGGCUACACAAGUCAGCCCAAAGGUUUAAAAAGCUGGGCUUAACAUUUCAAUUUUGGAUUUUUAAAAAACUUUUGGGAAAGUCUAAAAAGCUGUUAGUAAUACUUUAUUGGUUUUCUUUCCUUGGUAAGUUUAAAUGCUGCCAGAAAAAAUAUAUUUCAUGAGCAUGACCUUAGAGUUCUAACAAGGCUUUUCAUAGUCAAUAAAUCUAAAUAAUCAUAGUCAAUAAAUCUAAAUAAGAUAGGUACUGCCGUGUCCUGUGGACUGGGAAGUAUUUGUUUGCAAAUAAGGAAAUCCUCAAGAGUUUGCAAAUAAGGAAAUCCUCAAGACAAAACAUUAAAACGUCUAAUCUCUAAUUGGAAAACAGUGGUAAAUGUUAUAUAUGCCAAAGAGACUUCUUAAAUUAAUUUAUACGUAAAUUAAUCAUUUCUUGUUAAAUAUGAUUUAAUGUCCUAACAACAGCGACUUUGGUUCUGAAGCUGUCAGUGGAAGGAACACACAGAGCCCCUAGAUGUGUCAUAAAAGGCCCCGAAACUCAAUUUCCCAGGUAUCUUUACCCUAAUCUCAAAAGUCUAUCUUAAACAUAAGCAAUGUAAUAGUAUUUUUAUCCAAAUGAAUAAAGGUAUAAUAAAUAUAAAUAUAUAAAUACAUAUAUAUCUUGUAUU